GCAAGUCGAAAGCUAGCUUGCUAGCUUGGCAAACGGGAGAGUAACACAUUGGUAACCUGCCCCGAAGAUGGGAAUAACCUUGCGAAAGCGAGAAUAAUACCCAAUAGUAAUAAGAAGCUUAAGUUUCUUAUUUAAAACUCCGGUGCUUCGGGAGGGGCCUAUGGUCUAUCAGCUUGUUGGUAGGGUAAAAGCCUACCAAGGCUAUGACGGAUAGCGGGUGUGAGAGCAUGACC
Molecule: ribosomal RNA, 233 nt
Filed under: uncultured bacterium
Lineage: Bacteria
Description: partial 16S ribosomal RNA
Rfam family: Bacterial small subunit ribosomal RNA
Source: RNAcentral